RNAcentral lists this ribosomal RNA (475 nucleotides) under uncultured Desulfobulbus sp. RNAcentral's name for it is "bacterial SSU rRNA". It matches the Rfam family "Bacterial small subunit ribosomal RNA", at positions 916 to 1381 of the family's 1533-position model. Lineage: Bacteria; Pseudomonadati; Thermodesulfobacteriota; Desulfobulbia; Desulfobulbales; Desulfobulbaceae. The record is from RNAcentral.
GACGGGGCCCGCACAAGCGGCGGAGCAUGUGGAUUAAUUCGAUGCAACGCGAAGAACCUUACCUGGUCUUGACAUCCCGGAGACCCUUAGGAAACUAGGGGGUGCUUCCAUCUGGAAGAAUCUGGAGACAGGUGCUGCAUGGCUGUCGUCAGCUCGUGUCGUGAGAUGUUGGGUUAAGUCCCGCAACGAGCGCAACCCUUGCCUUUAGUUGCCAGCAGUUCGGCUGGGCACUCUAAAGGGACUGCCGGUGUUAAACCGGAGGAAGGUGGGGAUGACGUCAAGUCCUCAUGGCCUUUAUGACCAGGGCUACACACGUACUACAAUGGCCGAUACAAAGGGCAGCGACACUGCGAGGUGAAGCCAAUCCCGUAAAAUCGGUCUCAGUCCGGAUUGGAGUCUGCAACUCGACUCCAUGAAGUUGGAAUCGCUAGUAAUCGUGGAUCAGCAUGCCACGGUGAAUACGUUCCCGGGCCUU